GUAUACUCUGACAGAAAGAGACAGAGGAGUGAAGUGGCGUGCUGCCUGCCACCUCCAGACUUGACCCAGGUUUCACAGCAGAAUUAAAAAUCUUUGAAGACUCAAAAAUCAGAAGCAAUCUUUUCUAUGACUAAGAUUUGGAGAAGAGAUCUGGGAGAGGACUGUUUUUAUACUGAUUCCAUAGCUGACCUACCUCUCUCCCACAUUAUGCUGUGCCCGGGCCCUGGUUACAUCCUCUUGGCGUUGUUACCAGGGAUAUUUGCCUUACCAGUGUUCCUGCAGAGCCUCUACAUAAAGCACCUCUCAAAGCUUGGGAAGAACAACAGAUAAUUCAACAGGUGAUUCAAUCAUGACACCAAAACAAAAUUUUGUCCCAAUAAAGGAAAAGUAUUCA
Molecule: long non-coding RNA, 394 nt
Filed under: Fukomys damarensis (Damara mole-rat)
Lineage: Eukaryota; Metazoa; Chordata; Mammalia; Rodentia; Bathyergidae
Description: lncRNA (ENSFDAG00000025453.1)
Source: RNAcentral